CUUGUUGUUGACUUUACGAAAGUUUCUUGACUUUUAAUUUUUAUUUAUUUUUGUCUUAAAUGUAAGAUUUUUCGUGAAUAAAAUUGUUUUUAAAUAAGGCUUUGUGCCUAAGUUGCAGUAAGUAGACUUAUUUAAUUUUAAAAAUUUAAGAAAUAGCAAAUUUUAAAAGUGCAAACAAAAUUUGUGCCAGCAGUUGCGGUUAAACAGAUUGUGCAAUAAAAAAAUUUUUUGGAUUUUGGUUAUUUUAUUUUUUUUUUUAAAAAAAUUUUUUAUUAAGUGAAAUUUUAAAUUUUGGAAAUUUUAUUUUUUUUAGAUGAGGCCAGAAAAUUUUAUUUUAAAACUAGGAUUAGAUACCCUAUUAUGAAAGUGUGAUUUUUAAUUCUUUAUUAGUAUUAGUUAGGUUCUUGAAAAUAAAAAGAGUUGGCGGUAUCUUAGUCUAUUUAGAGGAACCUGUCCUAUAAAUGAUAUUCCACGAUUAGUUUUACUUAUUAUUUAAGUUUGUAUAUCGCCGUGGUUUUGAAUAUUCUUUAAGGAUUUUAAUAUUCUUAAUUUGAAUGUAAAGUAUAGCAGGUCAAGAUGUAGCUUAUGAAUAAGGAGAGGUGGGUUACAGUUAAAUUAGUGUGUGGAUUUUGUUAUUUAUUUGCAAAUGAAAGUGGAUUUAAUAGUAAUUUUUUAUAUAUUUUAAAUUUGAUUAAAGCUCUAAGAUAUGUACAUAUCGCCCGUCGCUUUCACUAUAAAGUGGAAUAAGUCGUAACAAAGUAGAUGUACUGGAAAGUGUCUCUAGAAGCCAGGU
Molecule: non-coding RNA, 793 nt
Filed under: Scolytinae sp. BMNH 1274292
Lineage: Eukaryota; Metazoa; Arthropoda; Insecta; Coleoptera; Curculionidae
Source: RNAcentral